RNAcentral lists this ribosomal RNA (207 nucleotides) under uncultured bacterium. RNAcentral's name for it is "partial 16S ribosomal RNA". It matches the Rfam family "Bacterial small subunit ribosomal RNA", at positions 1286 to 1500 of the family's 1533-position model. The record is from RNAcentral.
UCUCAGUUCGGAUUGGAGUCUGCAACCCGACUCCAUGAAGCUGGAUUCGCUAGUAAUCGCGCAUCAGCCACGGCGCGGUGAAUACGUUCCCGGGCCUUGUACACGCCGCCCGUCAAGCCAUGGAAGCCGGGGGUGCCUGAAGUGCGCUGCCGCAAGGAGCGCCCUAGGGUAAAACCGGUGACUGGGGCUAAGUCGUAACAAGGUAUC